GACGAACGCUGGCGGCGUGCUUAACACAUGCAAGUCGAACGAAGAGCGAUGGAAGCUUGCUUCUAUCAAUCUUAGUGGCGAACGGGUGAGUAACGCGUAAUCAACCUGCCCUUCAGAGGGGGACAACAGUUGGAAACGACUGCUAAUCCCGCAUACGAUCUAAUCUCGGCAUCGAGGAUAGAUGAAAGGUGGCCUCUACAUGUAAGCUAUCACUGAAGGAGGGGAUUGCGUCUGAUUAGCUAGUUGGAGGGGUAACGGCCCACCAAGGCGAUGAUCAGUAGCCGGUCUGAGAGGAUGAACGGCCACAUUGGGACUGAGACACGGCCCAGACUCCUACGGGAGGCAGCAGUGGGGAAUCUUCCGCAAUGGACGAAAGUCUGACGGAGCAACGCCGCGUGAGUGAUGACGGCCUUCGGGUUGUAAAGCUCUGUUAAUCGGGACGAAAGGCCUUCUUGCGAAUAGUGAGAAGGAUUGACGGUACCGGAAUAGAAAGCCACGGCUAACUACGUG
This 510-nucleotide ribosomal RNA is filed under the name uncultured bacterium. RNAcentral's name for it is "partial 16S ribosomal RNA". It matches the Rfam family "Bacterial small subunit ribosomal RNA", at positions 28 to 507 of the family's 1533-position model. The record is from RNAcentral.